Molecule: unclassified non-coding RNA, 231 nt
Filed under: plant metagenome
Description: partial contains small subunit ribosomal RNA and internal transcribed spacer 1
Rfam family: Eukaryotic small subunit ribosomal RNA (bases 1-46)
Source: RNAcentral
AAGUUGUAACAAGGUUUCCGUAGGUGAACCUGCGGAAGGAUCAUUACCGAGUAAGGGUCCUCAAGGCCCGACCUCCCACCCUUUGUUGUCGAACAAAUUCUGUUGCUUUGGCGGGACCGCUCGGCCUCCGGGCCGGCUGCCGGGUCUCGUACCGGGCAAGCGCCCGCCAGAGUCCAAUAUCAAAACACUUUGUUAAACCUUUUGUCUGAGUAAAUGAUAAAUUAAUCAAAA